RNAcentral lists this ribosomal RNA (1948 nucleotides) under Erwinia sp. S38. RNAcentral's name for it is "partial 23S ribosomal RNA". It matches the Rfam family "Bacterial large subunit ribosomal RNA", at positions 890 to 2817 of the family's 2925-position model. Lineage: Bacteria; Pseudomonadati; Pseudomonadota; Gammaproteobacteria; Enterobacterales; Erwiniaceae. The record is from RNAcentral.
UCAUCUCCGGGGGUAGAGCACUGUUUCGGCUAGGGGGCCAUCCCGGCUUACCAACCCGAUGCAAACUGCGAAUACCGGAGAAUGUUAUCACGGGAGACACACGGCGGGUGCUAACGUCCGUCGUGAAGAGGGAAACAACCCAGACCGCCAGCUAAGGUCCCAAAGUCAUGGUUAAGUGGGAAACGAUGUGGGAAGGCACAGACAGCCAGGAUGUUGGCUUAGAAGCAGCCAUCAUUUAAAGAAAGCGUAAUAGCUCACUGGUCGAGUCGGCCUGCGCGGAAGAUGUAACGGGGCUAAACCAUGCACCGAAGCUGCGGCAGCGACACUUAGUGUUGUUGGGUAGGGGAGCGUUCUGUAAGCCGCAGAAGGUGGACUGUGAGGUCUGCUGGAGGUAUCAGAAGUGCGAAUGCUGACAUAAGUAACGAUAAAGCGGGUGAAAAGCCCGCUCGCCGGAAGACCAAGGGUUCCUGUCCAACGUUAAUCGGGGCAGGGUGAGUCGACCCCUAAGGCGAGGCCGAAAGGCGUAGUCGAUGGGAAACAGGUUAAUAUUCCUGUACUCGGUGUUACUGCGAAGGGGGGACGGAGAAGGCUAUGUUAGCCGGGCGACGGUUGUCCCGGUUUAAGCAUGUAGGCGGAGGUUCCAGGUAAAUCCGGAACCUUGUUAACGCUGAGGUGUGAUGACGAGGCACUACGGUGCUGAAGUAACAAAUGCCCUGCUUCCAGGAAAAGCCUCUAAGCAUCAGGUAACAACGAAUCGUACCCCAAACCGACACAGGUGGUCAGGUAGAGAAUACCAAGGCGCUUGAGAGAACUCGGGUGAAGGAACUAGGCAAAAUGGUGCCGUAACUUCGGGAGAAGGCACGCUGUCGUUAGGUGAAGUCACUUGCUGACGGAGCUGAAGGCAGUCGAAGAUACCAGCUGGCUGCAACUGUUUAUUAAAAACACAGCACUGUGCAAACACGAAAGUGGACGUAUACGGUGUGACGCCUGCCCGGUGCCGGAAGGUUAAUUGAUGGGGUUAUCCGCAAGGAGAAGCUCUUGAUCGAAGCCCCGGUAAACGGCGGCCGUAACUAUAACGGUCCUAAGGUAGCGAAAUUCCUUGUCGGGUAAGUUCCGACCUGCACGAAUGGCGUAAUGAUGGCCAGGCUGUCUCCACCCGAGACUCAGUGAAAUUGAACUCGCUGUGAAGAUGCAGUGUACCCGCGGCAAGACGGAAAGACCCCGUGAACCUUUACUACAGCUUGACACUGAACAUUGAGCCUUGAUGUGUAGGAUAGGUGGGAGGCUUUGAAGCGUGGACGCCAGUCUGCGUGGAGCCAUCCUUGAAAUACCACCCUUUAACGUUUGAUGUUCUAACCUGGCGCCGUGAUCCGGCGUGGGGACAGUGUCUGGUGGGUAGUUUGACUGGGGCGGUCUCCUCCCAAAGAGUAACGGAGGAGCACGAAGGUUGGCUAAUCCUGGUCGGACAUCAGGAGGUUAGUGCAAUGGCAUAAGCCAGCUUGACUGCGAGAGUGACGGCUCGAGCAGGUGCGAAAGCAGGUCAUAGUGAUCCGGUGGUUCUGAAUGGAAGGGCCAUCGCUCAACGGAUAAAAGGUACUCCGGGGAUAACAGGCUGAUACCGCCCAAGAGUUCAUAUCGACGGCGGUGUUUGGCACCUCGAUGUCGGCUCAUCACAUCCUGGGGCUGAAGUAGGUCCCAAGGGUACGGCUGUUCGCCGUUUAAAGUGGUACGCGAGCUGGGUUUAGAACGUCGUGAGACAGUUCGGUCCCUAUCUGCCGUGGGCGCUGGAGAAUUGAGAGGGGUUGCUCCUAGUACGAGAGGACCGGAGUGAACGCACCACUGGUGUUCGGGUUGUCAUGCCAAUGGCAUUGCCCGGUAGCUAAGUGCGGAAAAGAUAAGCGCUGAAAGCAUCUAAGCGCGAAACUUGCCUCGAGAUGAGUUCUCCCUG